CUUUCUCCGCCGGCGACCGGCGCACGGGUGAGUAACACGUAUGCAACCUGCCCCUGUCAGGGGGACAACCCGCCGAAAGGCGGGGCUAAACCCGCGUACAUGCCACCGGGGCAUCCCGGAGGGCAGGAAAGGCUUCGGCCGGACAGGGGAUGGGCAUGCGGCGCAUUAGGCAGUAGGCGGGGUAACGGCCCACCUAACCGACGAUGCGUAGGGGUUCUGAGAGGAAGGUCCCCCACACUGGUACUGAGACACGGACCAGACUCCUACGGGAGGCAGCAG
RNAcentral lists this ribosomal RNA (279 nucleotides) under uncultured bacterium. RNAcentral describes it as "partial 16S ribosomal RNA". It matches the Rfam family "Bacterial small subunit ribosomal RNA", at positions 79 to 354 of the family's 1533-position model. The record is from RNAcentral.